This 41-nucleotide transfer RNA is filed under the name Solms-laubachia xerophyta. RNAcentral's name for it is "partial tRNA-Phe". It matches the Rfam family "tRNA", at positions 1 to 40 of the family's 71-position model. Rfam says of the family: Transfer RNA (tRNA) molecules are approximately 80 nucleotides in length. Their secondary structure includes four short double-helical elements and three loops (D, anti-codon, and T loops). Lineage: Eukaryota; Viridiplantae; Streptophyta; Magnoliopsida; Brassicales; Brassicaceae. The record is from RNAcentral.
GCCGGGAUAGCUCAGUUGGWAGAGCARAGGACUGAAAAUCC